This 1648-nucleotide long non-coding RNA is filed under the name Citrus sinensis (sweet orange). Its description in RNAcentral is "long non-coding RNA (CSIN_LNC003280)". The record is from RNAcentral. Lineage: Eukaryota; Viridiplantae; Streptophyta; Magnoliopsida; Sapindales; Rutaceae.
UUCUAACUGGGAAUGCUUAUUCUUUUGUCAACAUUACACUUGAGCUUGCAACCCACAAGCACAAGUUCAACCAUGGGAUUUCAAAUCAACCAAACUAUUCCAACCAUUCUUGCUAAGGUCAUUGUUUGAUGAGGAAUCCUCCAAGAUGGUCACUGUUGCCGUUGAGCUCUUCAAGUAUGGCAGAAUCAAAGGGUUAGCUUGGUUUGCUUAUUCCAAAUCCAACUUCUAUUCAGAGCUUCAACACACUGCACACUGGAACCACUCAACCCAAGCACCAAAACGACCACACAAUAACUCUCAACGGGCGUUUGCUUUGCACAAAGCUAAGAACUGAUCAAGCCACUGAUUCAGCAAUACUAAUAGGUACCACCCUCAAGCAAUGGCAACUGCAUCAACUAUCUACUAGUAGCAGAUUGCAUUAUUCUCUUCAAUCAAGGCCGUCUAAACUAAAAUCGCAGAACAUUUACAGCCCCGCCCAAAAGAUAAGUAAAUGAAGAAGAAAAUGUGAGAUGGAAUCAGUAGAUAAAAACAGGAUUAAAAAACCUGUCAUCUGUGGAUCCAUCACUACGGUUGUCUGGCCGCUGCCUGAUCACUAGCUUACUUCCAGAAAACAGAAUAAUCUGUUACUAGAAAACCAACUAGUGGCCAGGCUUUCAAUGUUGCACCGUUGUUCAAGCGAGAAAUCAGAAUCAAAAUCCGUUUUCUCGCAACAAACACAACAAAUGCUAAGCAAGUAACAAGAGAAAAUCACGGGGCUCAUAUCAAGUGUAAAGUUAUUCUUGUUUGAAUUUAUGACUGGUGAUGUGCAAGUGUUUCAAGUGUUUUCUUUCAGAGUUCUAACCAAAUUUGACCACAGGCCAUUGCCCACUGACAUCUACUCAAUUCACUUGCACUUACAGGUAUUUUAAGAAGAUUACAAUUGUAAUAAUUUUCUCAUUUUCAAGAAAUGAGUUCAUCACUAGCUACAAAGCCAGAAGGUGUGUGACGGUAACUCAUGUUCAGAGGUGAGGCUGUGAGGGUGGGGCUCGUUGUUCUUCUAAUCUGAUUACGAGGUUUCUCUCUUGUUCUGAUGAGUCCAUGAAGGUUUCAGUUCAAAUUACUAGCAAAAAAUGCAAAGAAAUCGCAUCAAGAAUGCGUAGGUUGCUUUAUAUUCUAACUGGGAAUGCUUAUUCUUUUGUCAACAUUACACUUGAGCUUGCAACCCACAAGCACAAGUUCAACCAUGGGAUUUCAAAUCAACCAAACUAUUCCAACCAUUCUUGCUAAGGUCAUUGUUUGAUGAGGAAUCCUCCAAGAUGGUCACUGUUGCCGUUGAGCUCUUCAAGUAUGGCAGAAUCAAAGGGUUAGCUUGGUUUGCUUAUUCCAAAUCCAACUUCUAUUCAGAGCUUCAACACACUGCACACUGGAACCACUCAACCCAAGCACCAAAACGACCACACAAUAACUCUCAACGGGCGUUUGCUUUGCACAAAGCUAAGAACUGAUCAAGCCACUGAUUCAGCAAUACUAAUAGGUACCACCCUCAAGCAAUGGCAACUGCAUCAACUAUCUACUAGUAGCAGAUUGCAUUAUUCUCUUCAAUCAAGGCCGUCUAAACUAAAAUCGCAGAACAUUUACAGCCCCGCCCAAAAGAUAAGUAAAUGAAGAA